This 993-nucleotide ribosomal RNA is filed under the name uncultured marine bacterium. RNAcentral describes it as "bacterial SSU rRNA". It matches the Rfam family "Bacterial small subunit ribosomal RNA", at positions 57 to 1042 of the family's 1533-position model. The record is from RNAcentral.
GCAGUCGAACGGUAACGACACUAGCUUGCUAGUGGUCGACGAGUGGCGGACGGGUGAGUAACGCGUAGGAAUCUACCUAGUAGUGGGGGAUAGCCAAGGGAAACUUUGGGUAAUACCGCAUACGAUCUAAGGAUGAAAGGGGGCCUCUCUUUGAAGCUCUCGCUAUUAGAUGAGCCUGCGUAAGAUUAGCUUGUUGGUGGGGUAAUGGCCCACCAAGGCGACGAUCUUUAGCUGGUCUGAGAGGAUGAUCAGUCACACUGGAACUGAGACACGGUCCAGACUCCUACGGGAGGCAGCAGUCGGGAAUAUUGGACAAUGGGGGAAACCCUGAUCCAGCCAUGCCGCGUGUGUGAAGAAGGCCCUAGGGUUGUAAAGCACUUUUAGUAGUGAGGAAGGCUCAGUAGUUAAUACCUACUGGGAUUGACGUUAGCUACAGAAAAAGCACCGGCUAAUUUCGUGCCAGCAGCCGCGGUAAUACGAAAGGUGCAAGCGUUAAUCGGAAUUACUGGGCGUAAAGCGCGCGUAGGCGGCUUGGUAAGUUGGAUGUGAAAGCCCCGGGCUCAACCUGGGAACUGCAUCCAAAACUGCCUAGCUAGAGUAUGGUAGAGGAUGGCGGAAUUUCCUGUGUAGCGGUGAAAUGCGUAGAUAUAGGAAGGAACAUCAGUGGCGAAGGCGGCCAUCUGGACCAAUACUGACGCUGAGGUGCGAAAGCGUGGGGAGCAAACAGGAUUAGAUACCCUGGUAGUCCACGCCGUAAACGAUGAGAACUAGCCGUUGGACAUCUUGCAUGUUUAGUGGCGCAGCUAACGCGAUAAGUUCUCCGCCUGGGGAGUACGGCCGCAAGGUUAAAACUCAAAUGAAUUGACGGGGGCCCGCACAAGCGGUGGAGCAUGUGGUUUAAUUCGACGCAACGCGAAGAACCUUACCUACACUUGACAUCCUCGGAACUUUCUAGAGAUAGAUUGGUGCCUUCGGGAACCGAGUGACAGUGCU